GACGAACGCUGGCGGCGUGCUUAACACAUGCAAGUCGAACGGACAGGCCCUGCUUUUGUGGGGUGCUCGAGUGGCGAACGGGUGAGUAACACGUGAGUAACCUGCCCUUGACUUUGGGAUAACUUCAGGAAACUGGGGCUCAUACCGGAUAGGAGCUCCUGCUGCAUGGUGGGGGUUGGAAAGUUUCGGCGGUUGGGGAUGGUCUCGCGGGUUAUCCGCUUGUUGGUGGGGUAGUGGCUUACCAAGGCUUUGAAGGGUAGCCGGCCUGGGAGGGUGACCGGCGACAUUGGUCCUGAGAUACGGCCCAGACUCCUACGGGAGGCAGCAGUGGGGAAUAUUGCAGAACAGGCGGAAGCGUGAGGCAGCAGCGCCGCGUGCGGGAUGACGGCUUUCGGGUUGUAAACCGCUUUCGCCGGUGACGAAGCGUGAGUGACGGUAAUGGGUAAGGAAGCACCGGCUAACUACGUG
Molecule: ribosomal RNA, 468 nt
Filed under: uncultured bacterium
Lineage: Bacteria
Description: partial 16S ribosomal RNA
Rfam family: Bacterial small subunit ribosomal RNA
Source: RNAcentral